UUAAAUGGUAUUAUGGAACAGGUGCA
Molecule: non-coding RNA, 26 nt
Filed under: Mus musculus (house mouse)
Lineage: Eukaryota; Metazoa; Chordata; Mammalia; Rodentia; Muridae
Source: RNAcentral